GUGAACGCUGGCGGUAGGCCUAACACAUGCAAGUCGAACGGCGGCACAGUAAGAGCUUGCUCUUACGGGUGGCGAGUGGCGGACGGGUGAGGAAUACAUCGGAAUCUACUUUUUCGUGGGGGAUAACGUAGGGAAACUUACGCUAAUACCGCAUACGACCUACGGGUGAAAGCAGGGGAUCUUCGGACCUUGCGCGAUUGAAUGAGCCGAUGUCGGAUUAGCUAGUUGGCGGGGUAAAGGCCCACCAAGGCGACGAUCCGUAGCUGGUCUGAGAGGAUGAUCAGCCACACUGGAACUGAGACACGGUCCAGACUCCUACAGGAGGCAGCAGUGGGGAAUAUUGGACAAUGGGCGCAAGCCUGAUCCAGCCAUACCGCGUGGGUGAAGAAGGCCUUCGGGUUGUAAAGCCCUUUUGUUGGGAAAGAAAAGCAGCAGGUUAAUACCCCGCUGUUCUGACGGUACCCAAAGAAUAAGCACCGGCUAACUUCGUG
RNAcentral lists this ribosomal RNA (491 nucleotides) under uncultured bacterium. RNAcentral's name for it is "partial 16S ribosomal RNA". It matches the Rfam family "Bacterial small subunit ribosomal RNA", at positions 29 to 507 of the family's 1533-position model. The record is from RNAcentral.